CUGGCUCAGAUUGAACGCUGGCGGCAGGCCUAACACAUGCAAGUCGAGCGGCAGCACGGGUACUUGUACCUGGUGGCGAGCGGCGGACGGGUGAGUAAUGCCUAGGAAUCUGCCUGGUAGUGGGGGAUAACGCUCGGAAACGGACGCUAAUACCGCAUACGUCCUACGGGAGAAAGCAGGGGACCUUCGGGCCUUGCGCUAUCAGAUGAGCCUAGGUCGGAUUAGCUAGUUGGUGAGGUAAUGGCUCACCAAGGCGACGAUCCGUAACUGGUCUGAGAGGAUGAUCAGUCACACUGGAACUGAGACACGGUCCAGACUCCUACGGGAGGCAGCAGUGGGGAAUAUUGGACAAUGGGCGAAAGCCUGAUCCAGCCAUGCCGCGUGUGUGAAGAAGGUCUUCGGAUUGUAAAGCACUUUAAGUUGGGAGGAAGGGCAGUUACCUAAUACGUGAUUGUUUUGACGUUACCGACAGAAUAAGCACCGGCUAACUCUGUGCCAGCAGCCGCGGUAAUACAGAGGGUGCAAGCGUUAAUCGGAAUUACUGGGCGUAAAGCGCGCGUAGGUGGUUUGUUAAGUUGGAUGUGAAAUCCCCGGGCUCAACCUGGGAACUGCAUCCAAAACUGGCAAGCUAGAGUAUGGUAGAGGGUGGUGGAAUUUCCUGUGUAGCGGUGAAAUGCGUAGAUAUAGGAAGGAACACCAGUGGCGAAGGCGACCACC
RNAcentral lists this ribosomal RNA (717 nucleotides) under Pseudomonas tremae. Its description in RNAcentral is "bacterial SSU rRNA". It matches the Rfam family "Bacterial small subunit ribosomal RNA", at positions 19 to 729 of the family's 1533-position model. Lineage: Bacteria; Pseudomonadati; Pseudomonadota; Gammaproteobacteria; Pseudomonadales; Pseudomonadaceae. The record is from RNAcentral.